GGAGGGUUAGCCUAAUUGGUAAGGCAGCAUUCUUGAAAACUGCCGGGUUUGCGCCCUUGUGAGUUCGAGUCUCUCAUCCUCCG
RNAcentral lists this transfer RNA (83 nucleotides) under Hymenobacter aranciens. RNAcentral describes it as "tRNA-Ser". It matches the Rfam family "tRNA". Rfam says of the family: Transfer RNA (tRNA) molecules are approximately 80 nucleotides in length. Their secondary structure includes four short double-helical elements and three loops (D, anti-codon, and T loops). The record is from RNAcentral. Lineage: Bacteria; Pseudomonadati; Bacteroidota; Cytophagia; Cytophagales; Hymenobacteraceae.